Molecule: ribosomal RNA, 207 nt
Filed under: uncultured Facklamia sp.
Lineage: Bacteria; Bacillati; Bacillota; Bacilli; Lactobacillales; Aerococcaceae
Description: partial 16S ribosomal RNA
Rfam family: Bacterial small subunit ribosomal RNA
Source: RNAcentral
AGCGCAGGCGGUUUGUUAAGUCUGAUGUGAAAGCCCACGGCUCAACCGUGGAACGGCAUUGGAAACUGGCAAACUUGAGUAUAGAAGAGGAAAGUGGAAUUCCAUGUGUAGCGGUGAAAUGCGUAGAUAUAUGGAGGAACACCAGUGGCGAAGGCGACUUUCUGGUCUAUAACUGACGCUGAGGCUCGAAAGCGUGGGGAGCAAACA